UACGUAGGGUGCAAGCGUUGUCCGGAAUUAUUGGGCGUAAAGGGCGCGUAGGCGGACAGUUCAGUCGGGGGUGAAAGCCCGGGGCUCAACCUCGGAAUUGCCUUCGAUACUGGCUGUCUUGAGUAUGAGAGAGGUGUGUGGAACUCCGAGUGUAGAGGUGAAAUUCGUAGAUAUUCGGAAGAACACCAGUGGCGAAGGCGACACACUGGCUCAUUACUGACGCUGAGGCGCGAAAGCGUGGGGAGCAAACAGG
RNAcentral lists this ribosomal RNA (253 nucleotides) under uncultured bacterium. RNAcentral describes it as "partial 16S ribosomal RNA". It matches the Rfam family "Bacterial small subunit ribosomal RNA", at positions 524 to 776 of the family's 1533-position model. The record is from RNAcentral.